Molecule: ribosomal RNA, 468 nt
Filed under: uncultured bacterium
Lineage: Bacteria
Description: partial 16S ribosomal RNA
Rfam family: Bacterial small subunit ribosomal RNA
Source: RNAcentral
GACGAACGCUGGCGGCGUGCUUAACACAUGCAAGUCGAACGGCAAGGCACUGCUAUUGUGGGGUGAUCGGGUGGCGAACGGGUGAGUAACACGUGAGUAACCUGACCUAGACUUUGGGAUGACUUAAGGAAACUGGAGCUAAUACCGGAUCGGAGACCAUGCUGCAUGGUAGGGGUUGGAACGUUUCGGCGGGUGGGGUUGGAUUCGCGGCUGAUCAGCUUGUUGGUGGGGGAGUGGUAUACCAAGGGAGUGACGGGUACGCGGCCUGGGAGGGUGACCGGCCACAAGGGGACUGCGAGACGGCGCAGACUGCUACGGUGGGCAGCGGUGGGGAAUAUUGCACAAUGGUCGGAAGCCAGAUGAAGCGACGCCGCGUGCGGGAUGACGGCCUGCGGGUUAUAAACCGCUUUCGCCUGUGACGAAGCUUUAGUGACGGUAAUGGAUGAAGAAGCACCGGCUAACUACGUG